RNAcentral lists this ribosomal RNA (460 nucleotides) under uncultured bacterium. RNAcentral describes it as "partial 16S ribosomal RNA". It matches the Rfam family "Bacterial small subunit ribosomal RNA", at positions 338 to 795 of the family's 1533-position model. The record is from RNAcentral.
CCUACGGGAGGCAGCAGUGAGGAAUAUUGGUCAAUGGACGAGAGCCUGAACCAGCCAAGUAGCGUGAAGGAUGACUGCUCUAUGGUUUGUAAACUUCUUUUAUAUGGGAAUAAAAUGAGGCACGUGUUCGUUUUUGUAUGUACCAUAUGAAUAAGGAUCGGCUAACUCCGUGCCAGCAGCCGCGGUAAUACGGAGGAUGCGAGCGUUAUCCGGAUUUAUUGGGUUUAAAGGGUGCGUAGGUGGAUUAUUAAGUCAGUGGUGAAAGUUUGCGGCUCAACCGUAAAAUUGCAGUUGAAACUGGUAGACUUGAGUACAGUAGAGGUAGGCGGAAUGCGUGGUGUAGCGGUGAAAUGCUUAGAUAUCACGAAGAACUCCGAUUGCGAAGGCAGCUUACUAAACUACAACUGACACUGAAGCACGAAAGUGUGGGGAUCAAACAGGAUUAGAUACCCUGGUAGUC